AACAUUAUCUGUUAAUUUGUUUAAAUGACAUUUAAAUGUGGGUCGCAACGACCGAGGGUUCCCGAGGGAGAAGAUUACGGGGGACAACAAAGGCAUCUCUCGCACACCUUGCGAGGCAUAAGUGUCGCUUAUUCAACCACCCACAGAGAAACCUGUGAUCGAUUGAACUUUGUCAUUAUCUUACUUGCGGUUCUUCUUAGGCGAUUGGCGACAAUGUGAUCAGGUUUCUUAGCUGAUUCUAUGCAUUAUGGUAGCUUCUGAGUCAUGUGCAAGCUCGAGAACGCGUUAAAAAAAAACACACACACACAGAGGAACACAUCUCACGACGUAGUAAGGCUUUCUUUGUGUAGCCGUUUCAGCUGGGUUUUGAGCUCAUGUGUGCCAGUCGACCGAAGGAGGGUAAACUCGGUGAUAACUUUACUCCUUGGAUGCUGAGUCUUGACAGAUCAGUCACAAACAACUUUCAUCGGUCGGAUGUUUGUCAUUCGGAGUGAAUGAACUGGUCUAUUUUUUUUUCUUUCUCAAGGGUGCUUCUUGCCGGAUGUCGGUGAUGCUGUCUUCAGACCAAGACUGAUCGCCUUAGUUGCUGAGGAAUUCUGAAACAAGACCCUUCUCAAAAGAAGGAGGGCUCGGAACGCCUCAGCAAAAGCCGCGAGGAGGUCAGCGCUGCUCGUGCCAGGUUUUUCCGAGAAACAAACUUCAGUCAAUCGAAACCCUCCCCGACGCCAGUCAAAUCAACC
Long non-coding RNA from Pomacea canaliculata, 740 nucleotides. RefSeq lists it as uncharacterized. Lineage: Eukaryota; Metazoa; Mollusca; Gastropoda; Architaenioglossa; Ampullariidae. The transcript is spliced from 3 exons. The record is from RefSeq and is a predicted model, not a curated record.